RNAcentral lists this ribosomal RNA (654 nucleotides) under Escherichia coli. Its description in RNAcentral is "bacterial SSU rRNA". It matches the Rfam family "Bacterial small subunit ribosomal RNA", at positions 1 to 644 of the family's 1533-position model. Lineage: Bacteria; Pseudomonadati; Pseudomonadota; Gammaproteobacteria; Enterobacterales; Enterobacteriaceae. The record is from RNAcentral.
AAAUUGAAGAGUUUGAUCAUGGCUCAGAUUGAACGCUGGCGGCAGGCCUAACACAUGCAAGUCGAACGGUAACAGGAAGAAGCUUGCUUCUUCGCUGACGAGUGGCGGACGGGUGAGUAAUGUCUGGGAAACUGCCUGAUGGAGGGGGAUAACUACUGGAAACGGUAGCUAAUACCGCAUAACGUCGCAAGACCAAAGAGGGGGACCUUCGGGCCUCUUGCCAUCGGAUGUGCCCAGAUGGGAUUAGCUAGUAGGUGGGGUAACGGCUCACCUAGGCGACGAUCCCUAGCUGGUCUGAGAGGAUGACCAGCCACACUGGAACUGAGACACGGUCCAGACUCCUACGGGAGGCAGCAGUGGGGAAUAUUGCACAAUGGGCGCAAGCCUGAUGCAGCCAUGCCGCGUGUAUGAAGAAGGCCUUCGGGUUGUAAAGUACUUUCAGCGGGGAGGAAGGGAGUAAAGUUAAUACCUUUGCUCAUUGACGUUACCCGCAGAAGAAGCACCGGCUAACUCCGUGCCAGCAGCCGCGGUAAUACGGAGGGUGCGAGCGUUAAUCGGAAUUACUGGGCGUAAAGCGCACGCAGGCGGUUUGUUAAGUCAGAUGUGAAAUCCCCGGGCUCAACCUGGGAACUGCAUCUGAUACUGGCAAGCUUG